Molecule: non-coding RNA, 36 nt
Filed under: unclassified sequences
Description: DUF805b RNA
Rfam family: DUF805b RNA
About the family: Bacteroidetes, Chlorobi (1 example), Proteobacteria.
Source: RNAcentral
AAGGAGCAAGCCGAAAAUCCUAAACAAGAGUAGGCA